This 2370-nucleotide long non-coding RNA is filed under the name Brassica rapa (field mustard). RNAcentral describes it as "long non-coding RNA (BRAP_LNC007068)". Lineage: Eukaryota; Viridiplantae; Streptophyta; Magnoliopsida; Brassicales; Brassicaceae. The record is from RNAcentral.
CACCAACUACUAAAACCUCAACAUCAAAAACUUUUUUUUUUCACCUAAGUUACUAGAUUAGUUUGUUAUUAGGCAGAUUCUUCAUGAUGAAUGAUGAUAGUGAUGACCAUCUGUUGAUGGUCGAUCUACAAGAAUGUGAAUUGAAAGAAUCUAAAACGCCUCGUAUAAGAAAAGAAUCAUACCGGAUUGUUGUUGUUAACUUUGGUUGAGUCUUGGAGAUUUCAUUAAUCUGAUGAUGGUUCACUGGAAUUAUCAUCUGGCUUUCUCGCUACCCUUAGCGUCGUGUUACUGGUUAGUCCACGUCCCUUAGCAAGUUUGCUCUGGACAUCAGCCUAUUUCUUUACCUAUUUCUCAAUAUUUAGGUUAAAUUUAUUGUAUUGUAAUGUUGCUACGAGUAUUUCUAGCGAUGUUUGAAUUUUAUUUUGUUCGUGUGCUUAGCCUAAGUGAUAAUGGUGCUUAACCAUUUUCUUUUAGAAAUAGAAAAUAAUGGCAAAAAAUAACAUAUAGCAAAACACAUAUAUUGUAUAUUUACACAUAUUUUCUUAGCAAAAACCCGGAAAAACUAUACAUUUUUCAGAUAGAUUUUUAAUAUAGUUUUCUAUUUCUUAUAUUGUAUAUUUAUUUAGUAUUUAGGUUUUCUUAUAUUUUAUAUUUAUAUAUUCAAUUGUUUUGCUUUAAUAUUAAGUGGUAAUAUUACGAAAGAUGUUUAAUGUAAUAUUUCUAUUUCAAUUUCUUAUAUUGUAUAUUUAUUUAUUAUUUAUUUUACUAUAUAUAUUUCAGAUAUAUGUUUAAUUUAAUUUUUUUAUUUAUUAUAAUGUAUAUAUACUUAUUUUUUGUUUUUUCUUAUACUGUAUAUUUGCUUAUCUAAUAUUAUGUUAGAUAUUUAAUGUAAUAUUUAUAUUUCUUAUAUUAUAUAUUUACUUAUUAUUUAUUUUACUAUACAUUUUUAAAAUAAUUAUUUAAUUUAGUUUUUUACAUUUCUUAAUUGUAUAUUUAUUUAUUCUAAUUUUCUAUUAUGAUAGAUGUUUAAUGCAAUAUUUCUAUUUUUAUAUUGCAUAUUUACUUGUUAUUUAUUUUUCUUAAUGUUGUAUAUUUACUUAUUAUGAAUUUUAUGUGUUUUUAUAGUAAUAAUGUCAUAUGACAUUUUUUAGAAGAUGGAUUUUAUACUGAUGUGGACACUGCAUGGAAUUUCAAAUAGUCUUUUUUAUUAGUAUAGAUUGUAUUUGACCCCUUCCCUUUUGCUUUCUUCUUUAGCAAGUUUCAUUUAUUUAAUACUCAAUCUAUUUCUUUUUGUAUGUAUUUUAAAUUAUAUAUAUUUUCUAAUUUAUAUGAUGUUUUAAAUUUAUUAUGUUAUUAUUAAAAUUAUUGAUUAAAAUAUUAAAAGGAAAUUAGUAAACGUUUCUAUAGUUUCCAAAAUUUACAUGAUUUACAAAAAAGUCAAACAACAUUUAGUCACCAAAAUUUUAUUGUCUCUUUUAUUAACAUCCAAUUUAUAUCUUCUAAGACUUGUUUUUUAUUGUCUACUUCGUCACCAAAUCAUUUGUUGAACAAAUGGAUCCAAAAGAAAAAAAUAAUAGAAGAACAAAUAGAAGACAAAGAAAGUAACUCAAGAAAUACGGUGGCAAGUGAACAGAUGAAGGUCUUCCGGUUCUCGGGGAUCACACGCACUUUGGGUUACAUCGAUGGAGUGGUCAACCGAUGGUCUAACCUAGCAAAGGUUUGUGGCAGUGGCUCUACAUACCAGCACCGGGAAAGUUGCUUCUAAACCGGUGGUACGAGCUCUGUUUCUCUGGAAGCUUGGAUUCUUGACUCUGGCUCGUGCUUUGUUUCAGAUGAACCCCGUCUUUCAGUUCAGAUCUUGUGUCCGAUUUAGGCUGAGGGUCUCAGUAUUGAAACCCAAGGAGACAAUCUCGAUGUUGCACCUUUUGGUGAAGAUGCUAAUGGGACAAGGACUUCAAUGCUGAUUAUAAGGAACCCAUAGUUUGUUUCAAUUGUACUCGGGUGUAGACAUUAUCUUUGGGUUAGUAAAUGAUUUUGUACCAUGAGGUCAAUUUAGAUGUUGUUGAAGAGAUGGAUCAGUCCGAGUCGUGGAUUGGUUUCAUUCUCAUUGUGGUUCAAAAUGCAUUGGGUCUAGGUUAGGUAACAUUAGUUCCAAUCAAGUGAGCUAGGGUGGUAAUAGACCGACUCAAUGCAUUUGUGGUUAAAGUCUCUUGUCGUCAAGUUUCUUGUAUCAUGACUUGGUAAAUGAAAAGUACGAAGUUGAGUUAAAAAAGAAAAAAGUAACUCAAGAUAUGUGAAAAGAAUCUAUGAAACACAUUCAGUUUAGAAAUUAGAAUGAAACAAAUUACAUGUGGAAAAAGAAGAGUAUCA